CCUACGGGAGGCAGCAGUGGGGAAUAUUGGGCAAUGGGCGCAAGCCUGACCCAGCAACGCCGCGUGAAGGAAGAAGGCUUUCGGGUUGUAAACUUCUUUUGUCAGGGACGAAGCAAGUGACGGUACCUGACGAAUAAACCACGGCUAACUACGUGCCAGCAGCCGCGGUAAUACGUAGGUGGCAAGCGGUAUCCGGAUUUACUGGGUGUAAAGGGCGUGUAGGCGGGACUGCAAGUCAGAUGUGAAAACCACGGGCUCAACCUGUGGCCUGCAUUUGAAACUGUAGUUCUUGAGUACUGGAGAGGCAGACGGAAUGCCUAGGGUAGCGGUGAAAUGCGUAGAUAUUAGGAGGAACACCAGUGGCGAAGGCGUUCUGCUGGACAGCAACUGACGCUGAGGCGCGAAAGCGUGGGGAGCAAACAGGAUUAGAUACCCCAGUAGUC
This 443-nucleotide ribosomal RNA is filed under the name uncultured bacterium. RNAcentral describes it as "partial 16S ribosomal RNA". It matches the Rfam family "Bacterial small subunit ribosomal RNA", at positions 338 to 795 of the family's 1533-position model. The record is from RNAcentral.